CACGAAACUUAACGAGCUAAUUAUUAUAUGCGGUUCGGCAAUAAUAUGUGGCAUAAUAAGUAUAAUUAAUAGUAGUUAGGGGUGACAGGCUUGCCAAGUUAAGGGAUAACUUGAUUUUUCUUGAAAAGUAUUUAGUACAUUUAUAGACCUAAAGUUAUAAGGUUUUAGGUAAGUAUUAAGAAUUAUAUAGUUAGUGUUACUAAGCUUAAUCGCUGGUAAUGGGAGAAUCAAAUAUUAAAUUAGUUGACUUAUUGUUAAUAAGAAAUAAUAAAUAAAUUAUAUGAAUUAUUUAUAAUGUUAGUAUGAGUAUUUUAUGAGGUAAAAAUAAUAAACUCGGCAAGGUGUCCUUCGACUGUUUAUCAAAAACAUAGUCGGGUGUAAGUAUACUCGAUAUUUUCUGCUCAAUGAUUUUUUAAAUAGCCGCAGUACCCUGACUGUGCAAAGGUAGCGCAAUCAAUUGGCUUUUAAUUGAAGUCCUGUAUGAAGAACGCACGGAAGAUAACUGUAUCAUUCUUAUAGUAAUAAAUUACUUAUUAGGUGCAAAAACCUAUAUGGAAAUAAUAGACGAGAAGACCCUAGAAAUUUUAAGAAUCUGCUCUUAAUACUUUUUGUUGGGGCAACAUAGUAGCGUAACCCUACAUAAAUGACAUGCAAUUAUUUGGUAUGAUUAAAUUACUCUAGGGAUAACAGCAUAAUUUGAUAAAGUUUGUGACCUCGAUGUUGGACUAGGAAAUUGAUGUUUAGAA
RNAcentral lists this ribosomal RNA (746 nucleotides) under Retroterra discoidea. RNAcentral's name for it is "partial 16S ribosomal RNA". The stretch from base 347 to 498 matches the Rfam family "Archaeal large subunit ribosomal RNA", at positions 1886 to 2087 of the family's 2987-position model. Lineage: Eukaryota; Metazoa; Mollusca; Gastropoda; Stylommatophora; Camaenidae. The record is from RNAcentral.